RNAcentral lists this ribosomal RNA (200 nucleotides) under uncultured bacterium. RNAcentral describes it as "partial 16S ribosomal RNA". It matches the Rfam family "Bacterial small subunit ribosomal RNA", at positions 28 to 231 of the family's 1533-position model. The record is from RNAcentral.
GAUGAGCGCUAGCGGCAGGCUUAACACAUGCAAGUCGAGGGGUAUAGCACUUCGGUGCUAGAGACCGGCGCACGGGUGCGUAACGCGUAUGCAAUCUACCUUUUACAGAGGGAUAGCCCAGAGAAAUUUGGAUUAAUACCUCAUAGUAUUAUGAAAUGGCAUCAUUUUAUAAUUAAAGUCACAACGGUAAAAGAUGAGCA